GUCACCGUGACAACAAUUGGGUGCGAGGACAUCAAAGAAUCAUCCUCUUGUACAGGUUCAAAUGUGUCCAGAAUGUUGAGUUUAGAACUCAGCUGCUGUGAGGUGCUGUCUGAGAAGCAACCCAGCACUGUCUCUUAGGUUACAUGAAGAAUUUGUUGGCAGCUUGCUUUUCAUUUGAGUCAAAAUUCUUUCUAAUCCAGACAAACAAUGGACCAAGUCACAAGCAAGAAGACAUAGGCAAUAGGAAGGAUUCAUUCAAAGUAUGAUUGUCUGGAAGUAGUAAGCGGUGAGGAAUAUACUCUGCAAAAUAAAGAGGCCCUCUGAGAGGUCUGAAGCAGAAGUAGAGCCUCCAGAUGGUAACAUACAUUGUGAAUCUCCAAACGGAAUAUACUAUUGAGUAAUUUCUA
Hyaena hyaena (striped hyena) is the source of this 407-nucleotide long non-coding RNA. RefSeq lists it as uncharacterized. The record is from RefSeq and is a predicted model, not a curated record. The transcript has 5 exons. NCBI's taxonomy places the organism in Eukaryota, Metazoa, Chordata, Mammalia, Carnivora, Hyaenidae.